This 1089-nucleotide ribosomal RNA is filed under the name Triticum aestivum (bread wheat). RNAcentral's name for it is "partial small subunit ribosomal RNA". Lineage: Eukaryota; Viridiplantae; Streptophyta; Magnoliopsida; Poales; Poaceae. The record is from RNAcentral.
AUGGAGAUGGAGACGGGGAGCACAUCCGUCCACAAGAAAGAAAGAGAGAGGAUGGAGCGUCGCUACCCGGGCCGGGCCGGGCCUCCAUGCCGCCUAGCCCAGCCACCCCAUCUCAGCCCGGCCCAGCACAAACACAGGCCACAAGCCCACACAAAGCCUAGUUCUCACAAGAAAAAAAACCUUGCCAGAUUUCUCCCCACCUUCCUCCCUUCCUCCCUUCCUCGGCCGCCGCCGCCCGCCGACCGACCGGCGAUGGAUCCGGUGGAGGUGGUGAUGGGCGCGUACGGCGGCCCGGCGCGGCGCGUCGAGAGCGGGGCGUCGGAGACGAUGCUGCUGUGGGGCCUGGGUCAGCCGGCGUCGCACCGCCCCAACGCCUUCGCGCGCCAGGGCUUGCCGGCCUUCCCCAUCGACGCGUGCGGCCGCCGCCUGACGCUCCACCAGCAGCCGUCCUCCUUCCGGGGCGCCUCGGGGGUCACGGGCGCCGUCGUCUGGGACAGCGCCGUCGUGCUCGCCAAGUUCCUCGAGCACGCGGCCGACGCGGGGCUCCUGCCGGUGCGCGGGGCGCGCGCCGUGGACCUCGGCGCCGGCUGCGGGCUCGUGUCCGUCGUCGCCGCGCUGCUGGGCGCGCGCGUCGUGGCCACCGACCUGCCCGACCGCGUCCGGCUGCUGCGCAAGAACCUCGAGGAAAACGUCUGUAAUGGGGAUGGGGAUGGCGGGUCGGCGACGGUGGCGGAGCUGGUGUGGGGCGACGAGUACGAGCUGGACCCGGAGCUGCUGCUCUGGCUGGACACGGAGGCAGAGCCGCCGGAGCUGGUGCUGGGGUCGGACGUGGUGUACAGCGAGGAGGCCGUCGGCGACCUGCUGGCGACGCUCUGCCGGCUCGCCGGGCCGCGCACCACCGUGCUGCUCGCCGGAGAGCUCCGCAACGACGUGGUGGUGGAGUGCUUCCUGGAGGCGGCCAUGGCGGAGUUCGAGGUCGGGUGCAUCGAGCAGGAGCAGUGGCACCCCGACUUCCGCACCAACCGCGUCGCCAUCUUCAUCCUCCUCAGGAAGACGCCGCCGCCGCCGCUCCCCGUCUCAACGCCAUAG